UAAUAAUUUUUUUAUUUUUUUUUAAAAGCAAAUUAUAAAACUUCAAGAAACUGUCAACAGAAGAGAUUCUGUAACAAUCCCUAACAUUUAGAUGCAUUGUGUGACUACCUGAGGGUUGAAGGUCCCAAUCUCCUACAUCUUUUUGCUAAACAGAUUAAUAGACCUUGUAAAUAGUUUAUUUUAGACUACAGACAGUAUGGUAACUCUGUCCAACGUUUAUGUUGCCUAGAAGUUCAUAGCCACUUCCCUCCUUUCAGUCUUGAAACACGAUUUUGAAACAACUCUCCAGCGAUUUAAUUACACUGUGAAACAGUCACAUUACAACAAAAUGUAUACAUGUAACCAUUUAUUUUUUUUUAAUAUUGCAGUGAUUUCUUGUGAAAAAUCAUCACACUUCUUCAUCUUUCUGAAGUUGUGCAUCAGUGGGACACGGAGAUUGCAUUUAACCAUACUGUUACUUGGGUCAAGUUGACACAGAAAUAUUGCAACAUUCUGAAUCCUGUUUGAAAAGACUAACAGCAUUUAUUAGAUCUUAAUUGCUUUAAGUAUGUGCUAUGAAAAAAAGAGACCAUAUUUUUGCAAAUAAUGCCACAGGCUUACCCGAGAAUAACAAUAGUUUAAGUAAGCUUUAAAAAGACUUCAGUCAACAUACCUAGCAUCAGACAUGCCAGAGAACUUCAUCUGGGUGUAUAUAAGAGGAGCCAAGAAUUAUCUGACCAAGCCAGCCUGAGUUUUAAAUACAUAAAAUCUGUGAAACUGAAGCUGCUGCUGAGAGCGCUUUAGCAGCAGACAGUCUAGAACUGCUGUGGAUGAAAGCCUUUUCUGUUAAGAAUAGGUACUUCAUUGCCCAAUAAUUGAACAGUAAGAGAUAAGAGUUAAACUAGGAAAAACUAGUUUGCCACUAAGGUGAGAGUUAAUAGCAAUUCCUGAUCUACUCAUCAUAAAUAUUACCUGAUCCAAAAAUGCUUGGAAUGGCAUCUGAUGAUACAAAGGAAUAAAACGCAAAGAUAAAAGCAAGCAUCUUGGUCAGCACUUGUUUCACAUUCCCAGUUUUCUACUGUGGUCCUGCCUUGAUACUAGGUAAUUAGAUAACGGCACCAAGAAGGUUUAAUUAAAAAUAAAUAUAUUGCAAAGCAAAUAGGUGAAAACCCUGUAUCUAUCACUAUAUUAAAUGGAAAGGACAACAGGAGACAUUUAUUGCUUCAGUAGUGAAACUAAGGUUUCAUGAGGUAGCCCUGUCUAGCUACAGAUUAUCUACAAAUGUUGGAGUGUCUUUGAGACAUCAGAAAACACUUGCAUUAAAAAAAACCAACCAACCAACCAAACCUUAACAAAAAACACACCCACAAAAAAACCCAAAACAAAAACCCCACAAAACUGUCUUUUAUUCUGGAAUGGACAUAUAUUUCUACAGUAGUAAUGAUGCAGACAAUACAGUAGGAAAUAACUGAUAUGAAGAACAUUUUGCCACAAAAA
Aquila chrysaetos chrysaetos is the source of this 1476-nucleotide long non-coding RNA. RefSeq lists it as uncharacterized. The record is from RefSeq and is a predicted model, not a curated record. Lineage: Eukaryota; Metazoa; Chordata; Aves; Accipitriformes; Accipitridae. The transcript has 2 exons.